UGGGGAAUUUUGGACAAUGGGCGCAAGCCUGAUCCAGCCAUGCCGCGUGCGGGAAGAAGGCCUUCGGGUUGUAAACCGCUUUUGUCAGGGAAGAAAUCUUCUGAGUUAAUACCUCGGGAGGAUGACGGUACCUGAAGAAUAAGCACCGGCUAACUACGUGCCUGCAGCCGCGGUAAUACGUAGGGUGCAAGCGUUAAUCGGAAUUACUGGGCGUAAAGCGUGCGCAGGCGGUUUUGUAAGACAGGGGUUGAAAUCCCCGGGCUCAACCUGGGAACUGCCUUUGUGACUGCAAGGCUUGAGUGCGGCAGAGGGGGGAUGGAAUUCCGCGUGUAGCAGUGAAAUGCGUAGAUAUGCGGAGGAACACCGAUGGCGAAGGCAAUCCCCCUGGGCCUGCACUGACGCUCAUGCACGAAAGCGUGGGGAGCAAACAGGAUUAGAUACCCUGGUAGUCCACGCCCUAAACGAUGUCAACUGGUUGUUGGGAAGGUUCCUUCUCAGUAACGUAGCUAACGCGUGAAGUUGACCGCCUGGGGAGUACGGCCGCAAGGUUGAAACUUAAAGGAAUUGACGGGGUCAUAGCUGUUUCCU
RNAcentral lists this ribosomal RNA (588 nucleotides) under uncultured bacterium. RNAcentral describes it as "partial 16S ribosomal RNA". It matches the Rfam family "Bacterial small subunit ribosomal RNA", at positions 355 to 1375 of the family's 1533-position model. The record is from RNAcentral.